GACGUAGGGCGCGAGCGUUGUCCGGAUUUAUUGGGCGUAAAGAGCUCGUAGGCGGCUUGUCGCGUCGACUGUGAAAACCCGAGGCUCAACUUCGGGCUUGCAGUCGAUACGGGCAGGCUAGAGUUCGGUAGGGGAGACUGGAAUUCCUGGUGUAGCGGUGAAAUGCGCAGGAUAUCAGGAGGAACACCAAUUGCGAAGGCAGCUCGCUGGGACGUUACUGACGCUGAGACGCGAAAGCGUGGGGAGCAAACAGG
RNAcentral lists this ribosomal RNA (254 nucleotides) under uncultured bacterium. Its description in RNAcentral is "partial 16S ribosomal RNA". It matches the Rfam family "Bacterial small subunit ribosomal RNA", at positions 524 to 776 of the family's 1533-position model. The record is from RNAcentral.